UCAAAAAUAUAUCAUUUCCCGUAACAAAAUAAUAAUGUCAUGAACUCAUCCAAGCAUGAAGCAUGUGUUUGUUAAAGGAAAAAAAGGCCAAGAGAUGAAGAAAAAAUUAAACAAGAUAUUGAUAUUUUCAGAAUAUUUUUUGAUAUUUCUACAUGAAAAGUGUUGCUAUAGAUGUAUAGCGACGAUUUUUUCCGUCGCUAUAUGAUCUAUAACGACGGUUUUCAUGUGAAAAUAUCAUUUUCUGUUGUGGAUUUAUCAGUUUUCAACAAAAAUACAAACAAAUGACCAAAUAUAGAUGAAAUAGCAUAGAGACCUCGCAAGGCAAGGCUUUUCUGGGAAAAAAUGAGGAAAAUAUGGCUGUCGGUGGUGCAAUGACGACGCCGGGAUUUUUGCUUUUAAGCAAUUAAGCUCGGCGUCCCUCAUUGCACCACUAACAGCCAUGUUUCUAUAAGCAUCAAGAAAUGAAAGCCAGGCCUUAC
RNAcentral lists this long non-coding RNA (479 nucleotides) under Panax ginseng (ginseng). Its description in RNAcentral is "long non-coding RNA (PGIN_LNC019009)". The record is from RNAcentral. Lineage: Eukaryota; Viridiplantae; Streptophyta; Magnoliopsida; Apiales; Araliaceae.